GACGAACCGAGCGAACGUUGUUCGGAAUAACUGGGCUUAAAGGGCGCGUAGGCGGGCUCCCAAGUUCGAGGUGAAAUCCUCCGGCUCAACCGGAGAACUGCCUCGAAUACUGGAGGCCUCGAGGCGGGUAGGGGCGUGCGGAACUGUGGGUGGAGCGGUGAAAUGCGUUGAUAUCCACAGGAACUCCGGUGGCGAAGGCGGCACGCUGGACCCGAUCUGACGCUGAGGCGCGAAAGCCAGGGGAGCAAACGGG
RNAcentral lists this ribosomal RNA (253 nucleotides) under uncultured bacterium. Its description in RNAcentral is "partial 16S ribosomal RNA". It matches the Rfam family "Bacterial small subunit ribosomal RNA", at positions 524 to 776 of the family's 1533-position model. The record is from RNAcentral.